UUAACCUAACGUAGAAUUUUUACGAAUCGACUAUAGAUAGAUUACAACCAUGGAUACUAUCGCAUGCUCCUAAAUUUGGCUAUCUUAAAGUUUACAUUUCCAGUGUAAAGUUAUGAUUUAAUAUCCAUGAAUCUAAAUGUUCACAAUUGGGAACAUAUUGCAAAUACAUUUCUGCUAACAUACAACACAAUUGUAAUACUUUCUGAACUGAUUCUUCUUGUAAAAGCCAUUUGGGAUCUGAUACUGCAAUACGAUGUGCUUGAUGUAAAUAGUGUAGUGCUUUGUCAUUAUCAAUAUCAGUUUUUUUAAGAAAAACUUUCCAUCUGAAUCAUUAACAUUGUUUACUACAGCAUCAGUAAGUAUGUCAAGAAUUUGAACAUCUAAAUGGUGAUUUUUCAAGUCUAAAAUACGAUGAUAACAUCGAAUUACCUAGAAAAAUGUGUAAAAGACAUAAAUCGUUAAAAGAUAUAUGAUUUUCGGGAUGAGUUAAAUUUUAUUUUUAUUAAUAUUAUAUAUUCGUACUUCUGAAAAAUGUCCUAAGUCAAUGCUAACGACCAUUAAAUUAUCCCAAACUUGCCAUUGAUCAUAGUUACACUUUAAAGCAUCUUGAAGAGAUUUCCAAGCUUUCACUUUAUCACCUAGCUUUAUAUAAGCUUUGGCUAAAUUAUUCCAAGCCUCGAAUGUCUAUAAUUAAAUUGCCAAAUUCUUUAAUAUAUAUUCUUCAUAUAUAUUAUUACAUAACAAAUUAAUAAUUGAAAAUAUUAAUACAAACCGUUUGCUCUAGUGCGCAAUAACGUUUAUAUGCUGUUGCUGCCAGUUUCCAAUCUUUCACUUGUAAAGCAGCAAAUCCAAGUCUAAUCCAAACAUUUUCUUGAAUGUUAUUUAAUUCAACUGAUAAUUUUAAAUGUGGUAUAGCUUCCUCAUACUUAAAAAUAAAAAAUAAUAUAUGUAUUUAAUUAAAUUACUAAGAAAAGGGAAAACUUUUCAAGCUUAUAUUUAUGUACGCACAUUUUGUUUGGCAAAAUAAAAAAAUCCCCAAUGUCUUUGAA
Bombus pascuorum is the source of this 1049-nucleotide long non-coding RNA. RefSeq lists it as uncharacterized. The record is from RefSeq and is a predicted model, not a curated record. Lineage: Eukaryota; Metazoa; Arthropoda; Insecta; Hymenoptera; Apidae. The transcript is spliced from 3 exons.